GGGGAAUAUUGCACAAUGGGGGAAACCCUGAUGCAGCGACGCCGCGUGAGUGAAGAAGUACUUCGGUAUGUAAAGCUCUAUCAGCAGGGAAGAAAAUGACGGUACCUGAGUAAGAAGCCCCGGCUAACUACGUGCCAGCAGCCGCGGUAAUACGUAGGGGGCAAGCGUUAUCCGGAUUUACUGGGUGUAAAGGGAGCGCAGACGGUUGCGCAAGUCUGAAGUGAAAUCCCGAGGCUUAACCACGGGACUGCUUUGGAAACUGUGCGACUUGAGUAUCGGAGGGGCAGGCGGAAUUCCUAGUGUAGCGGUGAAAUGCGUAGAUAUUAGGAAGAACACCGGUGGCGAAGGCGGCCUGCUGGACGAAAACUGACGUUGAGGCUCGAAGGCGUGGGGAGCAAACAGGAUUAGAUACCCUGGUAGUCCACGCGGUAAACGAUGAAUACUAGGUGUUGGUGCCCCAAGGGCAUCGGUGCCGUCGCAAACGCAAUAAGUAUUCCACCUGGGGAGUACGUUCGCAAGAAUG
Molecule: ribosomal RNA, 523 nt
Filed under: uncultured bacterium
Lineage: Bacteria
Description: bacterial SSU rRNA
Rfam family: Bacterial small subunit ribosomal RNA
Source: RNAcentral